Molecule: ribosomal RNA, 200 nt
Filed under: uncultured prokaryote
Description: partial 16S ribosomal RNA
Rfam family: Bacterial small subunit ribosomal RNA
Source: RNAcentral
GUCAAAUCAUCAUGCCCCUUAUGUCCUGGGCUACACACGUACUACAAUGGCGGCACGACAGAGGGAAGCAAGACAGCGAUGUGGAGCAAAUCCCUAAAAGCCGCCCCAGUUCAGAUUGCAGGCUGCAACUCGCCUGCAUGAAGUCGGAAUUGCUAGUAAUCGCGGAUCAGCAUGCCGCGGUGAAUACGUUCCCGGGCCUU